This is an RNA transcript of Sus scrofa (pig), 2726 nucleotides long. It is a transcript of the gene named WD repeat and SOCS box containing 1, with no coding region annotated. Lineage: Eukaryota; Metazoa; Chordata; Mammalia; Artiodactyla; Suidae. The record is from RefSeq and is a predicted model, not a curated record.
CAUUUUGUCUCCAGUGUCUCGUUUGCUGUCCGCGGCGUAGAGGGAAGUGUCUGACUCCGUGGGCGUGAGGCAGGGAGCAGGGGCUAUUGUUUGUGUUUCACGCCGUAGUUUGGUCCGAGGCCUCCGGAGCUUUCCCGGGGCAGUCGGCAGAAGCCGCCGCGACCGCCCCGCCCCUCCCCUCCGUCCCUGGGACCGGGAGGGACCCAGACCGCGUCACGCCCCUCGGCGCUCAACCUUCCCUUCUCUGUCGUUGCGUCCGCAUCGCUUCCCCGGAAUCGGACGGUACCCCAUAGAUGGCCAGCUUUCCCCCGAGGGUCAACGAGAAAGAGAUCGUGAGAUCACGUACUAUAGGUGAACUUUUAGCUCCAGCAGCUCCUUUUGACAAGAAAUGUGGUCGUGAAAAUUGGACGGUUGCUUUUGCUCCAGAUGGUUCAUACUUUGCUUGGUCUCAAGGACAUCGCACAGUAAAGCUUGUUCCGUGGUCCCAGUGCCUUAAGAACUUUCUCUUGCAUGGCACCAAGAAUAUCACCAAUUCAAGCAGUUUAAGGUUGUCAAGACAAAACAGUGAUGGUGGUCAGAAAAAUAAGCCUCGUGAACAUAUUAUAGACUGUGGCGAUAUCGUCUGGAGUCUUGCUUUUGGAUCUUCAGUUCCAGAAAAACAGAGUCGCUGUGUAAAUAUAGAAUGGCAUCGAUUCCGAUUUGGACAGGAUCAGCUACUCCUUGCCACAGGGUUAAACAAUGGGCGUAUCAAAAUAUGGGAUGUAUAUACAGGAAAACUCCUCCUUAACUUGGUAGAUCAUACUGAAGUGGUCAGAGAUUUAACUUUUGCUCCAGAUGGGAGCUUGAUCCUGGUGUCAGCUUCAAGAGACAAAACUCUGAGAGUGUGGGACCUGAAAGAUGAUGGAAACAUGAUGAAAGUAUUGAGGGGCCAUCAGAACUGGGUGUACAGCUGUGCAUUCUCUCCUGACUCUUCUAUGCUGUGUUCAGUGGGAGCCAGUAAAGCAGUGGUGGCAGCAAUAUUGGUGUGAUUGAGGUUAUGCUGGCACCACUCGCACACAGGCGCACAAUGGUGUUAGCUGGGCAGAAAGAGUGGCAUCUCUGGCUACCGGGCUGGGGGCGACCUUUACCAUAGGAUGAAGUAACCUUGCAUUCGGCUGCAAGGUGUACUGUACGUACACAGGUUUUCCUUUGGGAUAUGGAUAAAUAUACCAUGAUACGGAAACUAGAGGGACAUCACCAUGAUGUUGUAGCUUGUGACUUUUCUCCUGAUGGAGCUUUACUGGCUACGGCAUCUUAUGAUACUCGAGUGUAUAUCUGGGAUCCACACACUGGAGACAUUUUGAUGGAAUUUGGGCACCUGUUCCCUCCACCCACUCCAAUAUUUGCUGGAGGAGCAAAUGACCGAUGGGUACGAUCUGUAUCAUUUAGUCAUGAUGGACUGCAUGUUGCAAGCCUUGCUGAUGAUAAAAUGGUGAGGUUCUGGAGAAUUGAUGAAGAUUAUCCAGUGCAAGUUGCACCUUUGAGCAAUGGUCUUUGCUGUGCCUUUUCUACUGAUGGCAGUGUUCUAGCUGCUGGGACACAUGAUGGAAGUGUUUAUUUUUGGGCCACUCCAAGGCAAGUCCCUAGCCUUCAACAUUUAUGUCGUAUGUCAAUCCGGAGAGUGAUGCCCACCCAAGAAGUCCAGGAGCUGCCAAUUCCUUCCAAAGUCUUAGAGUUUCUCUCCUACCGUAUUUAGAGGACGCUGCCUUUCCUCAACCUAGGGACUGACAACACACUUCACACAAACCUAAAGCUUUACUUUAAGGUUUAGGAGAUUAAUUUAAUGAUACAUUCUUGUGUUGCAUUUUGAUCAGUUGAGCUUUUAAAAUAUUAUUUAUAGACCAUAGAACUAUUUCUGAACAUAUCAACUGUAAAUUUUUUUUCUAAACUUAACUGUGAAAACAUAUACAUACAUGUAUAUAUUUAGAUAUAAGCUGCUAUGUGUUGAAUGGACCCCUUUGCUUUUCUAAUUUUUAGUUCCAACAUGUAUAUAUCGCUUCAGUAGAGCCACAGUGUGUAUCUUUGCUGUGAAGUGGAAGGAAUUUUUUUUAUCCUGACAUUGAGUAAGAUGGCAGAUGCUGACUUAAGAAAGGUGAAUUGCCUCAUACAAUAUGUGUAUUUGGUUGGGAGGAUCAGGUGACUGACCUGAAAGUAAAACACAGUUUUUGUCUAGGAAAGGAUUUUGUUUUCCUUAGGAGUGUCAGAGAAGUAGAAUUUGAAUGUGACAUUAUUAAAUAGAAAACAGAACCAGGAUAUAACCAGAAAAAAAGUGUACCCCCCCAUAACUGCCGCUGCAGGCCUUAAUUUUGGAAAGCAGCUUGCUUCUUUAACCCCUGUGGUAUAAGUAUUAUAAAUUUUAGUCAAUUUGAGAAAUCCAUCUACUGUAUUAUUACUAAAUAUUUUUUUGUUUGUACUAAGGGACAGUUAUUUGAAGACUAUGAAGACCAUCAUGGUUUUUUGGGUUUUUUUUAAUUUGUUUUGGAGGGGUGGCUUUUAAUUUUUUACACAUAUCCUGUGUUUCUGAAGGGGAUAAUAUUGGUGACUUGCCAAAGAGAAGCAAUAUAGUAUGUCUGCUUUUGCCUUCUGUUAUUUAUCUUACCUGCAGAUAUUAAGAAUGUAUGCAUUAUGUAAAAUGCUUGAUUAUAUAUUUUUGUUGAGUUUUUUAAUUAAAGACUUGUUAAAAAAAC